RNAcentral lists this ribosomal RNA (253 nucleotides) under uncultured bacterium. RNAcentral's name for it is "partial 16S ribosomal RNA". It matches the Rfam family "Bacterial small subunit ribosomal RNA", at positions 524 to 776 of the family's 1533-position model. The record is from RNAcentral.
UACGGAGGGGGCGAGCGUUAUUCGGAAUUAUUGGGCGUAAAGGGCGCGUAGGCGGCCUGGUAAGUCAAAGGUGAAAUCCCUCGGCUCAACUGAGGAACUGCCUUUGAAACUGCCUGGCUUGAGGCCGGGAGGGGGUGGCGGAAUUCCCAGUGUAGCGGUGAAAUGCGUAGAUAUUGGGAGGAACACCAGUGGCGAAGGCGGCCACCUGGACCGGUUCUGACGCUGAUGAGCGAAAGCGUGGGUAGCAAACAGG